RNAcentral lists this small nucleolar RNA (113 nucleotides) under Echinops telfairi (small Madagascar hedgehog). RNAcentral's name for it is "Small nucleolar RNA SNORA61 (ENSETEG00000025898.1)". The record is from RNAcentral. Lineage: Eukaryota; Metazoa; Chordata; Mammalia; Afrosoricida; Tenrecidae.
AACCUCCAGAUUCCUUAUCCCUCAGAUCUAAAUACCGGUUUGAGGGGGUAAAAAAUGAGGAAAAGUAAAACUUAAUUUGCAAAAUUCAGUAGUUUAUGUAAAUUCACUGAGUU